CAAUAAGCGGAGGAAAAGAAACCAACAGGGAUUACCUCAGUAACGGCGAGUGAAGCGGUAACAGCUCAAAUUUGAAAGCUAGCUCUUUUAGGGUUCGCAUUGUAAUUUGUAGAAGAUGCUUCGGGUGUGGCCCCGGUCUAAGUUCCUUGGAACAGGACGUCAUAGAGGGUGAGAAUCCCGUAUGUGACUGGGUGCUUUCGCUCAUGUGAAGCUCUUUCGACGAGUCGAGUUGUUUGGGAAUGCAGCUCAAAAUGGGUGGUAAAUUUCAUCUAAAGCUAAAUAUUGGCCAGAGACCGAUAGCGCACAAGUAGAGUGAUCGAAAGAUGAAAAGCACUUUGGAAAGAGAGUUAAACAGUACGUGAAAUUGUUGAAAGGGAAGCGCUUGCAACCAGACUUGCGCGCUGAUGAUCAUCCGGGCUUCUGUCCGGUGCACUCGUCUGCGCUCAGGCCAGCAUCGGUUUCGGUGGUGGGAUAAAGGCCUUGGGAAUGUAGCUCCUCUCGGGGAGUGUUAUAGCCCUCGGUGCAAUGCCGCCUAUCGGGACCGAGGACCGCGCUUCGGCUAGGAUGCUGGCGUAAUGGUUGUAAGCGACCCGUCUUGAAACACGGACCAAGGAGUCUAACAUCUAUGCGAGUGUUUGGGUGUCAAACCCAUACGCGUAAUGAAAGUGAACGGAGGUGAGAACCCUUAAGGGUGCAUCAUCGACCGGUCCUGAUGUCUUCGGAUGGAUCUGAGUAAGAGCAUAGCUGUUGGGACCCGAAAGAUGGUGAACUAUGCGUGAAUAGGGUGAAGCCAGAGGAAACUCUGGUGGAGGCUCGCAGCGGUUCUGACGUGCAAAUCGAUCGUCAAAUUUGCGUAUAGG
This 860-nucleotide ribosomal RNA is filed under the name Oculimacula yallundae. Its description in RNAcentral is "partial large subunit ribosomal RNA". It matches the Rfam family "Eukaryotic large subunit ribosomal RNA", at positions 44 to 921 of the family's 3401-position model. Lineage: Eukaryota; Fungi; Ascomycota; Leotiomycetes; Helotiales; Ploettnerulaceae. The record is from RNAcentral.